Molecule: ribosomal RNA, 449 nt
Filed under: uncultured bacterium
Lineage: Bacteria
Description: partial 16S ribosomal RNA
Rfam family: Bacterial small subunit ribosomal RNA
Source: RNAcentral
AAUGAACGCUGGCGGCAGGCCUAACACAUGCAAGUCGAACGGAUCCUUCGGGAUUAGUGGCGGACGGGUGAGUAACGCGUGGGAACAUACCCAAAGGUACGGAAUAGCCUCGGGAAACUGGGAGUAAUACCGUAUGUGCUCGAAAGAGGAAAGAUUUAUCGCCUUUGGAUUGGCCCGCGUUGGAUUAGGUAGUUGGUGGGGUAAUGGCCUACCAAGCCGACGAUCCAUAGCUGGUUUGAGAGGAUGAUCAGCCACACUGGGACUGAGACACGGCCCAGACUCCUACGGGAGGCAGCAGUGGGGAAUCUUAGACAAUGGGGGAAACCCUGAUCUAGCCAUGCCGCGUGAUCGAUGAGGGCCUUAGGGUUGUAAAGAUCUUCCAGGUGGGAAGAUAAUGACUGUACCACCAGAAGAAGCCCCGGCUAACUCCGUGCCAGCAGCCGCCGUAA